GUUGGCUGAAGUGUGAGAUUUUUUUUUCAAUUUUUGCUGCUUCUUUGGGCUUAAUGUGUUACAAAAUAUAUCAAGACAGUCAAGAUAACACUAGCCAAGAAACGAUAAGGUGCUGCUUGGAUAUUGUUUAGUACUAUUUAAGUAUUAAGGAAGUAAUAGAGAAGUUUUGAGAUGAUGGCCAAUGUUUUUUUCAUGGUUUUGUUUGUCCUUUCAACAUGCUGGGGUGAAUAUUCUCUGAACCAAACCAAACAUAGUGCGAAUGGAACCACUGGAACAACAGAUGGAAAAAAGCUUGAACUUCUUCGUUUUAUUCGACUGUCUAUCACGUGUCUGGGUUUGUCGAUCAUGCUCGUUCUCUCAUAUGCCAUCUUCACCCACCUUCACAAACUGAAGAUACACAGGUCUCUGGUAUGCGCGAGAAGAAAGUAGGCAGAGGGCACAGAAGCUACAAAGAGAAGAUCAACUCAAUCUACAUGUGCAUGCCUGACAAAUUACCAGCACAGGGAGCAGGACAUGACCUUUGACCUGGAAGUUCUCUAUCUGGGUGUGUCCCAAAAGCAUCCACACUUGUACUUUCCGAUCAUUUUAUAUGGUGUCUAAAUCAGUUUGCUAUAGCCUGUUAAUGGAAUGCUGCACAAGGUCCACCUUAUGGCAACACCUUUCUGUACACCACCCACAGACUGUGCCAUAUAAAAACACCCUUUGGAUAAUAGUAGAGGAAGAAUGCACACAUGACUGUAAGUCACUUUGGAUAAAAUCUGUGGAUAAAAGCGUCUGCUAAACGGCAUAUAUUAUUAUUAUUAUAUUACGAAACUCUCAUUAUGUGGUCAUACAAAGAUACAUGGCUCAUCAUGUAAUCAUAUAAACAUGCAAGGAGGAAUGUCAUACCUCACACACCAAAUUGAUAUGUGCAAUCUACGCUAUAGACUGCUUGGUCACUUGGAGUCAAAUCUUCAGUUUUAAUCUGCUUUUAGACAAGUAAAGGCACACAGUAUGCAUUUGCAGUCCCACGAGCUAGCUGAAAGUGUAGCGAGCCUCGCUCCUGAAAAUGGUCCCAGUUUGUGGCAAGGGCUUGAAUCCCAGAUGAGAUAUUAUUUUAACAUUUUAUAAUGUAGAAUUAUAAUUAUUGUGUUAGUGUGUUGCGAAGGGAAGUGCAGCCAAUGCCUUGAAAAUGAAGAUUAAGAAUAAAUGUAAUGAGGAGCUACGUCUUUCUUCAGCCAUAUAGACACAAAUACACUGAUAAUAAUGAGGUUUAUUAUAUAGGCUAUAUUACAUAGACGUGUACACUUAAAUGUAUAAUAUAUUACAUGCAUUAUUAUAAUAAUCAUCCACUUCUGUCACGUCCUGACCAGUAAAAGGGGUUGUUUGUUAUUGUAGUUUGGUCAGGGCGUGGCAGGGGGUGUUUGUUUUAUGUGUUAUUUUUUUUCUUUUGGUUAAUGUUCUAUGUUGGUAUAUUUCUAUGUUCAUUCUAGUCUUUCUAUUUCUAUGUUUAGGUUAUUGGGUUGACCUUCAAUUGGAGGCAGCUGUUCCUCGUUGCCUCUAAUUGAAGGUCCUAUUUAGUAGGGGUGUUUUUUCAUGGGUUUUUGUGGGUAGUUGUUCCUUGUGUAGUUGUGUGCCUUACAGGACUGUUUCUCGUCGAUGUUUUUUGUAUUAAGUGUUUUGUUUCGUUUUCUUCUCAUUAAAUAAAGAAGAUGAGCAUACACAUUCCCGCUGUGCUUUGGUCCAAUUCCUACACCGAACGUGACAGAACUACCCACCACCAACGGACCAAGCAGCGGGGUAAGGAGCAUGGUGAAGAAGAAUGGACAUGGGCAGAGAUGAGGAUGAGCAUAUCCAGGGCUAUGGAGGAUGUAAGGAAGACCGAGAGGCAUCCCCAAGAACAUUCUUUUGGGGGGGCACACGGGGAGUUGGGCAGAGUCAGGAUGGAGACCUGAGCCAACUCCCCGUGCUUAUUAUGGGGAGCAACGAAUGAGUGUCACCUCAGUCAUUCUUGCAACCAAAGUCCUUUGAGAUAUGUUCACCCUCUGGUUGGUAUUAUCUUCGGAACUAUUUAGUCCUUUUUAACAGACUAAGGGUGAUUUAUCUAGCGGACAAGCAUUCCAUACAACAUAAAUCAAGUAUUUCCUCAUUUACCACUGCAAAUCUACUGUGGCAAUUUACCAGACAUUUUGUAUGAAUGAAAACUUUUGGUGUAGCCUGUUAAUAUUUUUAUUUGUUUCCUAUUUAUGUUAGCCAUUAAAAUACUACUGUCUUUAAAAUAAAA
RNAcentral lists this long non-coding RNA (2263 nucleotides) under Salmo salar (Atlantic salmon). RNAcentral describes it as "lncRNA (ENSSSAG00000115238.1)". The stretch from base 725 to 791 matches the Rfam family "UnaL2 LINE 3' element". The record is from RNAcentral. Lineage: Eukaryota; Metazoa; Chordata; Actinopteri; Salmoniformes; Salmonidae.